Molecule: non-coding RNA, 204 nt
Organism: Cyanistes caeruleus (blue tit)
Lineage: Eukaryota; Metazoa; Chordata; Aves; Passeriformes; Paridae
Source: RefSeq, a predicted model, not a curated record
UGGUUUUGCCUUCCCUGGCCUGUUUAAGGUUAGCAGUGUAUGAAGAAGGAGGGAAAUUCAUUGGCCAUCGGAUAUUGCCAGUCUCAGCAAUUCGACCAGGCUAUCACUACAUCUGCCUGAGGAAUGAGAGGAACCAGCCUUUGACACUGCCAGCUCUCUUUGUGUACAUCGAGGUCAAAGACUAUGUACCUGACACUUACGCAG